This 406-nucleotide ribosomal RNA is filed under the name uncultured bacterium. Its description in RNAcentral is "partial 16S ribosomal RNA". It matches the Rfam family "Bacterial small subunit ribosomal RNA", at positions 30 to 526 of the family's 1533-position model. The record is from RNAcentral.
AUUGAACGCUGGCGGCAGGCCUAACACAUGCAAGUCGAACGAGUGGCGGACGGGUGAGUAAUGUCUGGGAAACUGCCCGAUGGAGGGGGAUAACUACUGGAAACGGUAGCUAAUACCGCAUACCAUCGGAUGUGCCCAGAUGGGAUUAGCUUGUGUGUGGGGUAAAGGCUCACCUAGGCGACGCUCCCUCGCUGGUCUGAGAGGAUGACCAGGCACACUGGAAGGGGGACACGGUCCAGACUCCUACGGGAGGCAGCAGUGGGGAAUAUUGCCGAAUGGGCGCAAGCCUGGUUCAGCCAUGCCGGGUGUAUUAAGAAGGCCUUCGGGUUGUAAAGUACGUGCAGCGGGGAGGCGUUACCCGCAGAAGAAGCACCGGCUAACUCCGUGCCAGCCGCCGCGGUAAUAC